AACGAACGCUGGCGGCAUGCCUAACACAUGCAAGUCGAACGAGAUCUUCGGGUCUAGUGGCGCACGGGUGCGUAACGCGUGGGAAUCUGCCCUUUGGUUCGGAAUAACAGUUGGAAACGACUGCUAAUACCGGAUGAUGACGAAAGUCCAAAGAUUUAUCGCCAGAGGAUGAGCCCGCGUAGGAUUAGCUAGUUGGUGUGGUAAAGGCGCACCAAGGCGACGAUCCUUAGCUGGUCUGAGAGGAUGACCAGCCACACUGGGACUGAGACACGGCUCAGACUCCUACGGGAGGCAGCAGUGGGGAAUAUUGGACAAUGGGCGAAAGCCUGAUCCAGCAAUGCCGCGUGAGUGAUGAAGGCCUUAGGGUUGUAAAGCUCUUUUACCCGGGAUGGUAAUGACAGUACCGGGAGAAUAAGCUCCGGCUAACUCCGUGCCAGCCGCCGCAGUAA
This 449-nucleotide ribosomal RNA is filed under the name uncultured bacterium. RNAcentral's name for it is "partial 16S ribosomal RNA". It matches the Rfam family "Bacterial small subunit ribosomal RNA", at positions 29 to 523 of the family's 1533-position model. The record is from RNAcentral.